This 4279-nucleotide long non-coding RNA is filed under the name Arachis ipaensis. RNAcentral's name for it is "long non-coding RNA (AIPA_LNC000606)". The record is from RNAcentral. Lineage: Eukaryota; Viridiplantae; Streptophyta; Magnoliopsida; Fabales; Fabaceae.
UGACGGUGACGUAGCUCUUCUUUCCCUUGAGUUCGGCCAACUGGAGUUCUAGGAGGCACAUAUGAUUUCUGACGCUUUCCUCUUCAGCAGCUCGAUAAAAAAGUUUCUCCAAAGUUUUCGUUGAUUUUGAUUUCGUAUGAAGGUAGGGAAUUUAUUUUUAAAGAUAAACGUUUUUAAUUUAGAAUGCCUACAAAAUUAAUUGAAUAAUUGCAAAUAUAUCUAUAUCUAUAUAUAUAUAUAUUAAUUAAAAGAUUUGGUUUUGGAAAAUUAAAUUAUUUAAAAUAUAUUUAGUUAAGAAAAGAUUUACUCUAUUUUAAAGUUUGAUUUAUUAAGAAAAAUAUAAUGUUUUAAACCCAAUCUUUUAAGGAGAGAUUUUGUUUUAAGUAAAGAUUUGAGCUCGGUUUAUUAAGAAAAGGAAUCUCUGUCACAGGAGAGCAGAGAACAAGAAUUUAAAGAAUAUAUUAAUUAAUGAAGUGUCUGCCACAGGAGAGCAGAUGUGAUAUUGUUUGGGCCUUAGUGCCAAAUGUAAAGUGGGGACGUCCACACACUGAGAACUAUUUUCCAGAUGUACGCUUAUUGAUUUGGAAAGUCACACUGAUGCGGCCUAGCCAUACGACUUAUAAGCACACUGAUGCAUCUGGAAAGCCAUACCAGCUGGGACUUGUGCCUGGGUAAUGUCGGGAGCGAGUAGACAACCGACACAUGAGCUCAUGGCCUGCGUUAGGAAUAGACAUGCAUCAUGUUGUUUGCACAUUUGCAUUUGAUUGCGCUUGCUUAUCUUAUUACUUUGUGAUUAUAUUGUUUGUCUUGUUGUGACUUGCUUGUACAUUGAAUUGAAUCUCUUGCUUGCACUACUUGUUUGUAAGUGUAUUAAAGUGAUUACGAGUUGACAUUUGACUGAGGAUUAACUAUGUGGCUGAGAGACAGAAAAUGUGUCUAAUUUUAUAUUUAAGUUUUGAUUUGAGUUUAGAGUUUUUUUAAAAAAAGAGGUAAUUUGUUAGCUAAAGUAGAACAAGAGUAUUUUCAAAGGGUUUGAUAAAAAAAAUUUUUAUUGAGCAAAAUUAAUUAUUUGCAUUUUAAUCCAUUACUUUUACGGCAUUCCCAUUCCCUAUUGAGAACGUGUGGUUUGUUCUCACCCCAAAUUUUCCACCCUUUCAGUGACAUAGGUUCGGAGAUUCAGUAAGAAGCUGCAGACGACUAGUAGAUUUACUUGUGAUUCCUGUUGUUUUUAUAGAGUUCCCUCGUCCUUGUUGCUUUAGGGUUUUUUUUUAUUUUAUGCAGAGGGAUAGGUAUUGUAUUUGAAUUUUACAUUGAAUUUAAUCGUAUAACAUCUAUUAUUAUUAGUAAUUAUGUGGUUAUUAUUAUUUGAAGAUCUUUUGUUAUGUGAUUUUUAAUUACUAAAAUCUUUUUUUUUUUGAAAUUUUCUUAAAAACAGAAACGCGAUAUCGACGUAAAGGCUCAAUAGUAAAUUUAUAAUAAAGAAAAUCAGGUCCGUAACGCCUUACUUUUGGUACGAUCAUGACAUGCUAAAAGUUAGGGUGUUACAUUAUGGUAUCAGAGCAGUUCGUUCCCGUUAGAGCCUUGGGAAUGGACUGACUAUGCUUUACUGCAUACUCUGAGUGUUUGUCAUGCAGUAGGACUUGUCCCACUGACAAGAGUUUGAGUUUCAAAUGCAUGAUUGUCUAUUGAUUAAUGCUGUUAGUCAACCGUUGCAUCUCUCAUGGUAUUAGGUUUGGCCAACUUAAUACUAAUGAUUCAUGUAUAUGGAAACACUAAUGGAUUAUCAUAGACGAGAUAGAAGUAACAGGUAACGUGAAUCGUGGGUUUUUGGAACGUUAGAAGUUAAGUUUAGGGGUUAGCUCCGUUUCAACGCAUAAUCCUUAUUCGUGCUAAUGUGAAUCUCUUCCUUGGUUGUUUGUCGUAAGACUUUUUGUUUCAAACUUCUUUCAUCAGAUAUGGUUUCUUUCACAUUUGCAAACUGAACAUGCCACACCUCUCUAUUUCUUUUCUUCGAUAUUUUUGAAAAUGGAAUUGAUAUGAAUCUUUUCCAUCUUAUAUCAAUUUUCGAGGGCAAAAAUUUUUGUAGGGUGGGUAGGAUAUAACAUCCGAAUUUUUAAAAUUAAAUUUUAUGCUUUGAAUUUAAAAAUAAAAUUUAAUUUAAUGAUGACUUAUUCUAUUAUUUUAAAUUAUCUAUCAGAAAUUAUAUUGAUAGUUACAGUCUAAAUUAAUUUUUAUAAAUAUUAUUAUUACUAUUAUUAAUAUUAUUAUUAUUGUUCAAAAAGAAAAAAAAUGGCCGAAGGAUAUUAUUAUACAUAUAAGCCACUAUAUAUAUUUAUUAUAUAUCUAUAUAAGAAACAAAGAAAGAUUUGUUACAUAUAUACAUAACAUAUAUAUAUCUAUUCACUUAUAAUAAUUCAUUAUCAUCAUUAUAGGGGAACGUGGCUUGUAACCCUUUAAUACAUAUAACCAUUCCCUUAAUCAACCAAAUGAACCAAAUGAAAGAAUUAGAAACGUGGCUUAUGUGCUCUUGUGCAUAUAUAUAUACAUACAUAUAAUUGUUACACAUGCCACUCUUAAUUAUUAAUCAAUGACACCUAAUGAAGCAUUAGCCACCACAAAUUAUCCAUUCAUUCCUAUCAGCCUUAACACUAUCAUUUCUUUACUCUCACCACCGAAUUGAACUUGGCAAAAAAAAGAAGAAAGAAAGGCCGAGAGAGAAUGUGAGCUUUCAUGGAAACCAUGAGUUUUUAGCUUCAAUUUCUUGUGAUCCGUAACUCUAAUAAAAAAUCUAAUCCGAUAAAAGUGUUUGUAUCUUUCCCUUGAGUUCGGCCAACUGGAGUUCUAGGAGGCACAUAUGAUUUCUGACGCUUUCCUCUUCAACAGCUCGAUAAAAAAGUUUCUCCAAAGUUUUCGUUGAUUUUGAUUUCGUAUGAAGGUAGGGGAUUUAUUUUUAAAGAUAAACGUUUUUAAUUUAGAAUGCCUACAAAAUUAAUUGAAUAAUUACAAAUAUAUCUAUAUAUAUAUAUUAAUAAUAGUAAUGUUAUUGAGUAUGGAUUAUUGCUGUGAAUGUGACUGUUUUCUGAUUAUUAAGAAUUUCGCUGAUUUGAGAAUUGUUGAGAAAAAGGCUGGUGAAUUGUUGAGGAAUAGGGAACCCGUAAGGGUGGUUUAGACUGAAUUUUAGAGAAAAUACCGCCAAAAUUUUAUAAAAUCUGAGGUUUUAUUUGAAAAGUUAUUUUAAAAGAUUUGGUUUUGAAAAAUUAAAUUAUUUAAAAUAUAUUUAGUUAAGAAAAGAUUUACUCUAUUUUAAAGUUUGAUUUAUUAAGAAAAAUAUAAUGUUUUAAACCCAAUCUUUUAAGGAGAGAUUUUGUUUUAAGUAAAGAUUUGAGCUCGGUUUAUUAAGAAAAGGAAUCUCUGUCACAGGAGAGCAGAGAACAAGGAUUUAAAGAAUAUAUUAAUUAAUGAAGUGUCUGCCAUAGGAGAGCAGAUGUGAUAUUGUUUGGGCCUUAGUGCCAAAUGUAAAGUGGGGACGCCCACACACUGAGAACUGUUUUCCAGAUGUAAGCUUAUUGAUUUGGAAAGUCACACUGAUGCGGCCUAGCCGUACGACUUAUAAGCACACUGAUGCAUCUGGAAAGCCAUACCUGGGACUUGUGCCUGGGUAAUGUCGGGAGCGGGUAGGCAACCGACACAUGAGCUCAUGGCCUGCGUUAGGAAUAGACAUGCAUCAUGUUGUUUGCACAUUUGCAUUUGAUUGCGCUUGCUUGUCUUAUUACUUUGUGAUUGUAUUGUUUGUCUUGUUGUGACUUGCUUGUACAUUGAAUUGAAUCUCUUACUUGCACUACUUGUUUGUAAGUGUAUUAAAGUGAUUACAAGUUGACAUUUGACUGAAGAUUAACUAUGUGGCUGAGAGACAGAAAAUGUGACUAAUUUUAUAUUUAAGUUUUGAUUUGAGUUUAGAGUUUUUUUAAAAAAAGAGGUAAUUUGUUAGCUAAAGUAGAACAAAAGGGUUUGAUAAAAAUAUAUUUUUAUUGAGCAAAGUUAAUUAUUUGCAUUUUAAUCCAUUACUUUUACGGCAUUCCCAUUGCCUACUGAGAACGUGUGGUUUGUUCUCACCCCAAAAUUUCCACCCUUUCAGUGACACAGGUUCGGAGAUUCAGUAAGAAGCUGCAGACGACUAGUAGAUUUACUUGUGAUUCCUGUUGUUUUUAUAGAGUUCCCUCGUCCUUGUUGCUUUAGGAUUUUUUUUAUUUUAUGCAGAUGGAUAGGUAUUGUAUUUGAG